RNAcentral lists this ribosomal RNA (301 nucleotides) under uncultured bacterium. RNAcentral's name for it is "partial 16S ribosomal RNA". It matches the Rfam family "Bacterial small subunit ribosomal RNA", at positions 509 to 807 of the family's 1533-position model. The record is from RNAcentral.
CAGUAGCCGCGGUAAUACGGAGGGGGCUAGCGUUGUUCGGAAUUACUGGGCGUAAAGCGCGCGUAGGUGGUUCGCCAAGUUGGAUGUGAAAUCCCCGGGCUCAACCUGGGAACUGCAUCCAAAACUGGCGAGCUAGAGUAUGGUAGAGGGUGGUGGAAUUUCCUGUGUAGCGGUGAAAUGCGUAGAUAUAGGAAGGAACAUCAGUGGCGAAGGCGACCACCUGGACUGAUACUGACACUGAGGUGCGAAAGCGUGGGGAGCAAACAGGAUUAGAUACCCCCGUAGUCCCUGUCUCUUAUAC